RNAcentral lists this ribosomal RNA (465 nucleotides) under uncultured bacterium. RNAcentral's name for it is "partial 16S ribosomal RNA". It matches the Rfam family "Bacterial small subunit ribosomal RNA", at positions 338 to 795 of the family's 1533-position model. The record is from RNAcentral.
CCUACGGGAGGCAGCAGUGGGGAAUAUUGCGCAAUGGGCGAAAGCCUGACGCAGCGACGCCGCGUGAGGGAUGAAGGUCUUCGGAUCGUAAACCUCUGUUAGCAGGGAAGAACGGUCACUUAGCUAAUCAGCCGUGAAUUGACGGUACCUGCAAAGGAAGCACCGGCUAACUCCGUGCCAGCAGCCGCGGUAAUACGGAGGGUGCGAGCGUUAAUCGGAAUUACUGGGCGUAAAGCGCGCGUAGGCGGUAUGUUAAGUCGAGGGUGAAAGCCCCGCGCUCAACGUGGGAACUGCCUUUGAAACUGGCAAACUGGAGUGUGUGAGAGGAGAGUGGAAUUCCAGGUGUAGGGGUGAAAUCCGUAGAUAUCUGGAGGAACAUCAGUGGCGAAGGCGACUAUCUGGCACAUAACUGACGCUGAGGAGCGAAAGCGUGGGUAGCAAACAGGAUUAGAUACCCUUGUAGUC